Molecule: ribosomal RNA, 682 nt
Filed under: uncultured eukaryote
Lineage: Eukaryota
Description: eukaryotic LSU rRNA
Rfam family: 5.8S ribosomal RNA (bases 245-398)
Source: RNAcentral
AUUAAUAGUGAAUGGCUGUUGUGGUGUGUUUGCGCAUGCUGCGAUGGUUCAUUUCCUGACCCUUGUGAAUGUAUCUAUGAAAGUGGUGGAUGGCUUGAGAGCGUGCGCGUCAGCGUGUGCGAUCGAGUCGUUGGCCAUGCGAUCUGCGUGACGCUUUGGCUAGCGCGAUUGCCUUUUAUUCCAAACACUAUGGUUAUAAAACAAGUGACAUGUGCCAAUUUGGCGUGACCUACCAAAUCGUAAUAACUUUUAACAAUGGAUCUCUUGGCUCUUGCAACGAUGAAGAACGCAGCAAUAUGCGAUAACUAAUGUGACUCGCAACAGCUCGUGAAUCAUCAAGUUUUUGAACGCACAUUGCACUUCCUGGUAUUCCGGGAAGUACACCUGUUUGAGUAUCAUUCAACCCUCACACGAACCUAUAUGUGCUUGCCUUUGUUGGUGAGCGGUUGUGUGGACGUGGGCUUUUCACCCGAAGUAGGGGAUGGCGCGAGCGAUCCUCUAGGGCGAAGCUUGAAAAGGAGCGAUCCCAGCUUUGUUGCGAUAAAAGCGAGAUAAAUGUUUCCGCUUUGUAGCACCGCGCAUUGGGGUUGUUAGUGGUACAUUCGCAAGAAUGCAACGCACCUUAUUGAUCUCAAAUCAGGUGGGAGGACCCGCUGAACUUAAGGAUAUCAAUAAGCGGAGG